Molecule: ribosomal RNA, 232 nt
Filed under: uncultured bacterium
Lineage: Bacteria
Description: partial 16S ribosomal RNA
Rfam family: Bacterial small subunit ribosomal RNA
Source: RNAcentral
CGGACGGGUGAGUAAUGUCUGGGAAACUGCCUGAUGGAGGGGGAUAACUACUGGAAACGGUAGCUAAUACCGCACAACGUCGCAAGACCAAAGAGGGGGACCUUAGGGCCUCUUGCCAUCGGAUGUGCCCAGAUGGGAUUAGCUAGUAGGUGGGGUAACGGCUCACCUAGGCGACGAUCCCUAGCUGGUCUGAGAGGAUGACCAGCCACACUGGAACUGAGACACGGUCCAG